GCUUUAUUUUUAUUAAGUAUUCUCUGGUUAUAGGGUUUUUAGGUUUUUCUUUGAAACUUUCUCUUAUUUAUGGAGCCCUAGGGCUAAUUAUUAGGGGUGCUGUGGGUUGUGAUAUACUGUUGAAUUUUGGUGUGGGUUUCGUGGGGUUAAUAGUCUUUUUGAUUUAUUUGGAGGGCAUGAUGAUUGUUUUUGGUUAUACUAUGGCUAUGGCUAUUGAGGAAUAUCCUGAAAUAUGAGGGUAAAGUAUUGACAUUUGAGGGGCUUUCUUAUUAGGAUUAUUAAUAGAGUUGAUGUUGGUUCGAUGAAUAGUUGAGUACGAUGUGGUAUUCACGAUUGAUUUUAAUAGCGUAGAGAGUUGGGUUAUUUUUUAGCAUGAGGGGGCAGGGUUAUUGCCUGAGGAUUCUGUAGGUGUCGCUGC
RNAcentral lists this long non-coding RNA (418 nucleotides) under Homo sapiens (human). Its description in RNAcentral is "non-protein coding lnc-SPIDR-8:1". The record is from RNAcentral. Lineage: Eukaryota; Metazoa; Chordata; Mammalia; Primates; Hominidae.